CUCCCCUCAGGGACAUUCGAUAAAAUUGUAAUGAUACAGAGAAGAUUAGCAUGGCCCCUGCGCAAGGAUGACAUGCACAAAUCGAGAAAUGGUCCAAAUUUUU
Molecule: small nuclear RNA, 103 nt
Filed under: Helianthus annuus (common sunflower)
Lineage: Eukaryota; Viridiplantae; Streptophyta; Magnoliopsida; Asterales; Asteraceae
Source: RNAcentral